Molecule: long non-coding RNA, 1260 nt
Filed under: Equus caballus (horse)
Lineage: Eukaryota; Metazoa; Chordata; Mammalia; Perissodactyla; Equidae
Description: lncRNA (ENSECAG00000033654.3)
Source: RNAcentral
CAGGGUGUCUGAGUCUCUUCACGGGAAGGACAGAGCUUGUGAAAUACAGCUGGCGCUUCUCGGGGUCUGGCCGGCCAGUCCGGUGAAUGAGCUGGAGUUGCAGCAGAGAUUCCAGGACAACAGGCAAACUCCAGAGGAGCUUCUCCUCUGAUGGGGUCUCAGUGUCAGGGCAAGACAGAGACCCUGCCUGGGAAGGAAGACCUCGGGGCCGAUGGAGGAGGCAGAGAUUUCCGGAAGGGAACAUGCAGUAAGAACCACAACAGGAGCUUGUGCCAAUUGCUAAGUGAGUGCUGAGCCAGAGAUUAGCUACCAUUGAGAAACCGGGGAAGGCUUCAGGGAAGAGGAGCCAAGUGGCCUGGACAGAUGCCAUUCAGAGAGACAUGUUCAUCUGGGCUGAGGCCAGGGCAAAGAGUUCCUAUCUGAGAUUAUGGGAGGAGGCAGGAACACUAGGAAGCUGGGAGUCAGAGGGGUGGACAAACAGAAGCCCACAGGGCCACAGCUCUGCAGGAGCACAAGCAGACUCCUAGCCUGGAGGAGCCAGGGCCAGAGACUGGAGACAGUGUCCCUGAGCCUAGAGCCCAGACCAGGUGCUGGGGAGCCAUUGGCUGGUUUUGAGAAUGUCUCCGUAUGGCUAAUUACCAGCAACAAUGUGAGAAAACUCAAGGCCAAAAUGACCAUUUGGCAAGAAGUAAUCGAGACCUUUGCCAGAGCAGAGGUACAGCCUGGCAAGGUCCAUCCCUAAUGAAGGAACAGGCCUGUGCCUCCACCUGGACCAAGCUCCAAGCCCUCCCUGGAACUCAAAUCUGGAACAGAAUGAAAUGAAAAGGACGGCCGGGUAGGAUUCCCACCUCUCCAGCAUUCUGUCUGAGUAAACCAUUCCAGCAUUAGACCAUUCUUCUCUAUCCUGCUUCUUGUGCCUGGAAGUGGCCCAGAUUCCCACCUUUUUCCAAGCCUGGCUCUUCAGACUUCUACCAAUUCUGUAAAAAUCUGAUAUCCUUCAAAUAAGUUCUUUUUGGCCAGAAAAAACUAGACUGCUUGCAACCAAGAAACCCUGACUAAUAGACCAGCCUUGGGGACACACUUCCACGCUCUGUGUGUUGGCUUUUUUCUUUUUCCCUCUUGACUUCCUCCCCAUUGAGACCUGGCCUUGGCAGCCCCAAGACCAGAGAGAAGAAACCCAGGAUUGGGCUCUCAUUGUGCCCAUUGCUCAACAGUCACUGAGGCCUGGCAGGUGAAGUCAUGUGAAAGGACAGCAGCCCC